CCUACGGGUGGCUGCAGUGGGGAAUAUUGCACAAUGGGGGAAACCCUGAUGCAGCGACGCCGCGUGAGCGAUGAAGUAUUUCGGUAUGUAAAGCUCUAUCAGCAGGGAAGAAAAUGCCGGUACCUGACUAAGCAGCCCCGGCUAACUACGUGCCAGCAGCCGCGGUAAUACGUAGGGGGCCAGCGUUAUCCGGAUUUACUGGGUGUAAAGGGAGCGUAGACGGCGAUGCAAGCCAGAUGUGAAAGCCCGGGGCUCAACCCCGGGACUGCAUUUGGAACUGUAUAGCUGGAGUGUCGGAGAGGCAGGCGGAAUGCGUAGUGUAGCGGUGAAAUGCGUAGAUAGUAGGAGGAACACCAGUGGCGAAGGCGGCCUGCUGGACGAUGACUGACGUUGAGGCUCGAAAGCGUGGGGAGCAAACAGGAUUAGAUACCCUGGUAGUC
This 440-nucleotide ribosomal RNA is filed under the name uncultured bacterium. RNAcentral's name for it is "partial 16S ribosomal RNA". It matches the Rfam family "Bacterial small subunit ribosomal RNA", at positions 338 to 795 of the family's 1533-position model. The record is from RNAcentral.